This 310-nucleotide ribosomal RNA is filed under the name Escherichia coli. Its description in RNAcentral is "bacterial SSU rRNA". It matches the Rfam family "Bacterial small subunit ribosomal RNA", at positions 1 to 307 of the family's 1533-position model. RNAcentral also lists the same sequence under 1 other name. The record is from RNAcentral. Lineage: Bacteria; Pseudomonadati; Pseudomonadota; Gammaproteobacteria; Enterobacterales; Enterobacteriaceae.
AAAUUGAAGAGUUUGAUCAUGGCUCAGAUUGAACGCUGGCGGCAGGCCUAACACAUGCAAGUCGAACGGUAACAGGAAUCAGCUUGCUGAUUCGCUGACGAGUGGCGGACGGGUGAGUAAUGUCUGGGAAACUGCCUGAUGGAGGGGGAUAACUACUGGAAACGGUAGCUAAUACCGCAUAACGUCGCAAGACCAAAGAGGGGGACCUUCGGGCCUCUUGCCAUCGGAUGUGCCCAGAUGGGAUUAGCUAGUAGGUGGGGUAACGGCUCACCUAGGCGACGAUCCCUAGCUGGUCUGAGAGGAUGACCAG